GGCUCAGAUUGAACGCUGGCGGCAUGCCUUACACAUGCAAGUCGAACGGCAGCACGGACUUCGGUCUGGUGGCGAGUGGCGAACGGGUGAGUAAUGUAUCGGAACGUACCUUUCAGUGGGGGAUAACGUAGCGAAAGUUACGCUAAUACCGCAUAUUCUGUGAGCAGGAAAGCAGGGGAUCGCAAGACCUUGCGCUGAUUGAGCGGCCGAUAUCAGAUUAGCUAGUUGGUGAGGUAAAGGCUCACCAAGGCGACGAUCUGUAGCGGGUCUGAGAGGAUGAUCCGCCACACUGGAACUGAGACACGGUCCAGACUCCUACGGGAGGCAGCAGUGGGGAAUUUUGGACAAUGGGGCAACCCUGAUCCAGCCAUGCCGCGUGAGUGAAGAAGGCCUUCGGGUUGUAAAGCUCUUUCGGCCGGGAAGAAAUCGCAUGGGCUAAUACCCUGUGCGGAUGACGGUACCGGCAUAAGAAGCACCGGCUAACUACGUG
This 490-nucleotide ribosomal RNA is filed under the name uncultured bacterium. RNAcentral describes it as "bacterial SSU rRNA". It matches the Rfam family "Bacterial small subunit ribosomal RNA", at positions 21 to 507 of the family's 1533-position model. The record is from RNAcentral.